Molecule: ribosomal RNA, 253 nt
Filed under: uncultured bacterium
Lineage: Bacteria
Description: partial 16S ribosomal RNA
Rfam family: Bacterial small subunit ribosomal RNA
Source: RNAcentral
UACAGAGGUCUCAAGCGUUGUUCGGAAUCACUGGGCGUAAAGGGCGUGUAGGCGGUCAAGUAAGUGGAAUGUGAAAGCCCCCGGCUUACCCGGGGAUCUGCAUCCCAAACUGCUUGGCUUGAGUACGGGAGAGGAUAGGGGAAUUCCUGGUGUAGCGGUGAAAUGCGUAGAUAUCAGGAGGAACACCGGUGGCGAAGGCGCCUAUCUGGCCCGAUACUGACGCUGAGGCGCGAAAGCUAGGGGAGCAAACGGG